AAUAGAUACCCGGGUAGUCCACGCCGUAAACGUUGGCGCUAGAUGUGGGGACCAUUCCACGGUUUCCGUGUCGCAGCUAACGCAUUAAGCGCCCCGCCUGGGGAGUACGGCCGCAAGGCUAAAACUCAAAGGAAUUGACGGGGGCCCGCACAAGCGGCGGAGCAUGCGGAUUAAUUCGAUGCAACGCGAAGAACCUUACCAAGGCUUGACAUAUACGAGAACGCUCUAGAAAUAGAGAACUCUUUGGACACUCGUAUACAGGUGGUGCAUGGUUGUCGUCAGCUCGUGUCGUGAGAUGUUGGGUUAAGUCCCGCAACGAGCGCAACCCUCGUUCUAUGUUGCCAGCGGUUCGGCCGGGAACUCAUAGGAGACUGCCGGGGUCAACUCGGAGGAAGGUGGGGAUGACGUCAAAUCAUCAUGCCCCUUAUGUCUUGGGCUUCACGCAUGCUACAAUGGCCGGUACAAAGGGCUGCAAUACCGUAAGGUGGAGCGAAUCCCAAAAAGCCGGUCUCAGUUCGGAUUGAGGUCUGCAACUCGACCU
RNAcentral lists this ribosomal RNA (541 nucleotides) under uncultured bacterium. Its description in RNAcentral is "bacterial SSU rRNA". It matches the Rfam family "Bacterial small subunit ribosomal RNA", at positions 777 to 1318 of the family's 1533-position model. The record is from RNAcentral.